Gopherus agassizii (Agassiz's desert tortoise) is the source of this 126-nucleotide ribosomal RNA. NCBI's taxonomy places the organism in Eukaryota, Metazoa, Chordata, Testudines, Testudinidae. The record is from Ensembl.
CCUGUCCCAAUUUUCACACUUGCUAUCUGGUCACCCUAGGUCCUUCGGAUCUGACAAGUUGAGCAGAGUUGAGCUUGGUCAGUGCUAGGAUGGGACACUGCUAGAGAAACUCCAGGUGCUUCAGGA